CCUACGGGUGGCAGCAGUGGGGAAUAUUGGACAAUGGGGGCAACCCUGAUCCAGCCAUGCCGCGUGUGUGAAGAAGGCCCUCGGGUUGUAAAGCACUUUCAGUGAGGAAGAACGCCUGGUGGUUAAUACCCAUCAGGAAAGACAUCACUCACAGAAGAAGCACCGGCUAACUCCGUGCCAGCAGCCGCGGUAAUACGGAGGGUGCGAGCGUUAAUCGGAAUUACUGGGCGUAAAGCGCGCGUAGGUGGCUUGAUAAGCCGGUUGUGAAAGCCCCGGGCUCAACCUGGGAACGGCAUCCGGUACUGUCAAGCUAGAGUGCAGGAGAGGAAGGUAGAAUUCCCGGUGUAGCGGUGAAAUGCGUAGAGAUCGGGAGGAAUACCAGUGGCGAAGGCGGCCUUCUGGACUGACACUGACACUGAGGUGCGAAAGCGUGGGUAGCAAACAGGAUUAGAUACCCCGGUAGUC
This 465-nucleotide ribosomal RNA is filed under the name Vreelandella stevensii. RNAcentral describes it as "partial 16S ribosomal RNA". It matches the Rfam family "Bacterial small subunit ribosomal RNA", at positions 338 to 795 of the family's 1533-position model. The record is from RNAcentral. Lineage: Bacteria; Pseudomonadati; Pseudomonadota; Gammaproteobacteria; Oceanospirillales; Halomonadaceae.